GAUGAAGAACGUAGUAAAGUGCGAUAUGUAGUGCGAUUUGCAUGAAUCUGUGAGUCAUCUAAUCUUUGAACGCAACUUGCGCCUCUUUGAGGCAUGUCUGUUUGAGUGCCGCAUACAUCAAUGCAGCAAUGCGAUUUGACUGCUGUCCCCGGACUCGGUCUAAACGUAGCCAGAUAGUGGCCUGUGUGGGCUAGCUUGAGUGCUAAGCAUUCUCUGGGCUGGCCUAAACAGGUUAAUAACAACAUUUUAUCUUUGGCCUCAAAUCAGGCAAGACUACCCGCUGAACUUAAGCAUAUCAAUAAGCGGAGGA
Molecule: unclassified non-coding RNA, 310 nt
Filed under: soil metagenome
Description: partial contains 5.8S ribosomal RNA, internal transcribed spacer 2, and large subunit ribosomal RNA
Rfam family: 5.8S ribosomal RNA (bases 1-111)
Source: RNAcentral